This is a non-coding RNA of Otolemur garnettii (small-eared galago), 325 nucleotides long. Lineage: Eukaryota; Metazoa; Chordata; Mammalia; Primates; Galagidae. The record is from Rfam.
GCCGGGCAUUGUGGCGGGAGCCUAUGGUCCCAGCUACUUGGGAGGCUGAGGCAGGAGACUUGCUUGAGCCCAGGAGUUGGAGGUUGCUGUGAGCUGAGAUGCCACGGCACUCUACCCAGCGGGACAACUUGAGGCUCCUGUCUCAAAAAAAAAAAAAAAAAGAAUUUUAUUUUUCUAUUUAAAGGUGGGAAUUUCUUUUUUUUUUUUUUUGUUUUUUGUUUUUUUUUUGAGACAGAGCCUCAAGCUAUCCCCCUGGGUAGAGUGCCAUGGCAUCACGCUCACAGCAACCUCCAACUCCUGGGCUCAAGCGAGUCUCCUGCCUCCG